GGUCAAGCAUGAAGCAGAUGAUCGAAUACCGCUGACAUGCUUCUUCAGGCACUCCAGGAACUGAGUUUUCUUUAUAUCAGCUUGUACACUCGCUCCCCGGAAGUCCAUCCAUCUCCCGGUUCUGUGCACUGGCCAGGAAGUACACUCCAGUCCAGGCUUUAGAUUCACAGCACGAAGAAGCACGGAGACUCCUGCACACCCCUGAAAGCCUCACUUCUCAACUUACUGCCUUGGAGGGAAGUGGAAAACUGAGUCAAAAAUCUAUCUUGCAAGCAUGCAAAAACAAGCAUGCAAAAGUGCUUGCGAAUGGUUGCCUCAGGUGAGUCGGCCUGCAGUAUUGAUUCCCCAGAAAAACACCAAGCAGGCAGCAUAAUCUUAUUUCUGGAUCCAAGGAAAUGUGUAGGGCAACACCUCAGGGUGACCCUAAAGCAACGGGCCUGCCCAGAGAAGUGAAAGACAUUCGCCCACGCUCAGAGAGCUGGGCAGGGGAGGCUUGCGGAUCCAGUGGCCCCCCAGGAGUGGCUUCCUUUUAAUUUCUCCAGCUAAUUAAGGGAAAGUAUCCAUGGGUAUCAGCUCGGCGGAAGUAGAAGAAGAAGGAGCUGUUCCCGGAGAUGUCACCUCAAAUGACUCUCCAGCCUUGGAGGAAAGGGACCUUGACUGAGUUCCUCGGUCUCAGAGCAACCAAGGAUGCAAAGAAAUCAAGGAUGUGGAGGCGCCCUGAGGACGUGGGAAACCCAAGACACCAGACGGCCCUUGAAUCCACCCUCAGGACGCAAACACUGCAUCCGUCAGCUACAAAGAAACUGUGACCCCAUCUGAGCUGCCCCGACGCGACGCAACGCUGCGUCCUCAUCCACCUUACCCGCUGGGUCUGGCAUCUUGCGACUCUGGCUUUUCCCCAAAGUCACAAUGACCAUGAAAGGGGAACAUUUUGAAUCCAUUCUGACAUCGAGACAGCCAGGACAGGGCAGCUAAAGACAUCCAGAAAAGAGGACUCCAGCGCUGCUGCAGAAAGUGACAAGGAUGACGGGAUGAAUCUGUUAAAAGCCAAGGGGAGGAUUUUGAGGGAUUCGUGACAAUGUGUCUUUAACUGUGAUAAUUUUUUAAAAUUUUAAACAUUCAC
Molecule: long non-coding RNA, 1123 nt
Filed under: Chinchilla lanigera (long-tailed chinchilla)
Lineage: Eukaryota; Metazoa; Chordata; Mammalia; Rodentia; Chinchillidae
Description: lncRNA (ENSCLAG00000023919.1)
Source: RNAcentral